Molecule: ribosomal RNA, 497 nt
Filed under: uncultured bacterium
Lineage: Bacteria
Description: partial 16S ribosomal RNA
Rfam family: Bacterial small subunit ribosomal RNA
Source: RNAcentral
GAUGAACGCUGGCGACGUGCCUAAUACAUGCAAGUCGAGCGAACAGACGAGGAGCUUGCUCCUCUGACGUUAGCGGCGGACGGGUGAGUAACACGUGGAUAACCUACCUAUAAGACUGGGAUAACUUCGGGAAACCGGAGCUAAUACCGGAUAAUAUAUUGAACCGCAUGGUUCAAUAGUGAAAGACGGUUUUGCUGUCACUUAUAGAUGGAUCCGCGCCGCAUUAGCUAGUUGGUAAGGUAACGGCUUACCAAGGCAACGAUGCGUAGCUGACCUGAGAGGGUGAUCGGCCACACUGGAACUGAGACACGGUCCAGACUCCUACGGGAGGCAGCAGUAGGGAAUCUUCCGCAAUGGGCGAAAGCCUGACGGAGCAACGCCGCGUGAGUGAUGAAGGUCUUCGGAUCGUAAAACUCUGUUAUUAGGGAAGAACAAAUGUGUAAGUAACUAUGCACGUCUUGACGGUACCUAAUCAGAAAGCCACGGCUAACUACGUG